GUGAGUCAUCGAAUCUUUGAACGCACAUUGCGCCCGCCAGUAUUCUGGCGGGCAUGCCUGUCUGAGCGUCAUUUCAACCCUCGCAACCAGCUUGCUGGAUGCGGUGUUGGGGAUCGGCCCCCCGUACUGGGAGGCCGUCCCUUAAAUAGAGUGGCGGUUGCGCUGUGACCUCCUCUGCGUAGUAGCAAUAUCUCGCAGGCGGAUAGCGGUGUAACCACGCCGUAAAACUCCCAACUCUUCUUUGGUUGACCUCAGAUCAGGUAGGAAUACCCGCUGAACUUAAGCAUAUCAAUAAGCGGAGGA
This 303-nucleotide unclassified non-coding RNA is filed under the name Hypocreales sp. Its description in RNAcentral is "partial contains 5.8S ribosomal RNA, internal transcribed spacer 2, and large subunit ribosomal RNA". The stretch from base 1 to 71 matches the Rfam family "5.8S ribosomal RNA", at positions 84 to 154 of the family's 154-position model. The record is from RNAcentral. Lineage: Eukaryota; Fungi; Ascomycota; Sordariomycetes; Hypocreales.